UAACCUGCCCAAGAGAUCGGGAUAACACCUGGAAACAGAUGCUAAUACCGGAUAACAACAGAUGAUGCCUAUCAACUGUUUAAAAGAUGGUUCUGCUAUCACUCUUGGAUGGACCUGCGGUGCAUUAGCUAGUUGGUAGGGUAACGGCCUACCAAGGCGAUGAUGCAUAGCCGAGUUGAGAGACUGAUCGGCCACAUUGGGACUGANACACGGCCCAAACUCCUACGGGAGGCAGCAGCU
Molecule: ribosomal RNA, 240 nt
Filed under: uncultured Lactobacillus sp.
Lineage: Bacteria; Bacillati; Bacillota; Bacilli; Lactobacillales; Lactobacillaceae
Description: partial 16S ribosomal RNA
Rfam family: Bacterial small subunit ribosomal RNA
Source: RNAcentral